RNAcentral lists this ribosomal RNA (255 nucleotides) under uncultured bacterium. RNAcentral describes it as "partial 16S ribosomal RNA". It matches the Rfam family "Bacterial small subunit ribosomal RNA", at positions 113 to 354 of the family's 1533-position model. The record is from RNAcentral.
CGACGUGGAGAACCUGCCGUAUACUGGGGGAUAACACUUAGAAAUAGGUGCUAAUACCGCAUAAGCGCACAGCUUCGCAUGAAGCAGUGUGGAAAGCAAAAAGCUAAAGCUUUUGGUGGUAUACGAUGGAUCCGCGUCUGAUUAGCUAGUUGGCGGGGUAAAGGCCCACCAAGGCGACGAUCAGUAGCCGGCCUGAGAGGGUGAACGGCCACAUUGGGACUGAGACACGGCCCAAACUCCUACGGAAGGCAGCAG